GGAGAAAGAGAUCGCCAUGAUGGGGAAGAAGGAAGAGGAGACCUAAAGGCCAGCUGACAUGUGAGAAUCAGGGAAAGUGGCCACACGGGCCACUUCCACAGCUGUGUUUGAGCAGGACUUUGGGUCCCUAACCUGCAACUCAGCACUCAGUCCAUCAUGGGCUUUGCUAGUCUCUGUGACUUCUCCAGGGCAGGAAAGUGACAGGUUUCUGCGCAAGGGAGCCCGAGGUACCUGGUUCAGGAUGGAGAGGGCACUUGAGAGGCGUCAAAAGCAAGCACAGUUAGAGGACAUCAGCGAUGUUAAAACCCCACGAGGGUCAACAGUAGCCCAGGCAAAAUAAAGGAGCCUGAAGUGGAAAAACAGAAAUGGAACAAGACGUUUGUUCUGGAGCACGUGAGAUUGUCCUUCUAAGACAUUUCCAGAAGUAUUCAAAGGAAGAUUUAAUGGGAAAUCAUUAUGCAAAAGAGUCAGUAAUAUAUUUUAGUUUCAAAAAGUACGGAGCGUGACGCCUGUCAAUUAUACCUUCUGCAAAGGUGAGUGGCGGUUGUCCUUGCUGUUCCAAAAUGCAAAGAGAAACAAACAAACAAACAAACAAGCAAACCAGCUACUCCUAUUCCGCACUCCAAACACCAAGCAGAAAUGCUUCUGGGACAAACUGAGCUUCAUUCUUUAUGAAAAUGAAAACACUUCUUUCUGUGCACUAGGAAAAUGUUCUGCCUCUGAGCUGCAAAACCAGCACCAAACUUGAAAAGUUUGUGCAUCAAAGGAAAAAGGCAACCUACAGGAUGGGGGAGAAUAUUUGCAGGACACAUGUCCUGGAAGGAAUACAUAUUUAGACUGAAUAAAAUGAGUAAGAGGAGGGAUAGGGAGUUCGUGUUCAAUGUUGAGAGCUUGGGACAGUUGAGAAAACGCUCCGGAGUGUUCUGCAGAUGAAUGAUGGUGACGACUGCAUCAGUGUGAAUGUCCUUAACGCCGUCAAAAAUUGGUUAUAAUGGCAAAUUUUAUGCUACAUAUGUUUUACUACAAUAAAAAUGCCAGGAAAAUCUAACUGCUCCAAAUCCUGAAUUUAUUAACCCAAUAAAUUAGGAGAUGGUUAUUGACCUAUAAAUGGAUUUGUCAAUUUUUAAAAUGAUUUCCUUUAAAUUGAAUUCUUUCCUAGAGCUUUAUUGUCUCUUCACAAACCAUUAAACACUUGUUAAAGUGUUCAGAGAGGGCUGAGAUGGAGGAGGAAGUGAAAACCAAACAAACAGAUGAGGGACCUUCCCCAAAUGAUGUCUGCUAACAGGCUUCUUGGGUAUUCUAUUUAUAUAGAUUUUACAAGUGUUUUAUUUGAGAGGAAAAAUCCCUAGACCUUACAUAGUACAAUGAACUUCUUAUGCCUGUCAGCUAGAUUUAUUAAUUUUUAACGAGGUGUAUUACUUUUAAAAGCUAUCUAUUUACUAUUGGGGGAGGGAGAAGGACAAAGGACAUCUUGCAGAAGUCUGGUCUCUCCUGCUAUGUGGGUUCUGGAGAUAGGAAAUCAGGCAGGUUGUCAGGCCUAGAAGCAAAGGCCUGUCUGCACUGAGCCAUCUUACUUGUCUUAUUUUGUUACUUUUGAUGACCUAUUUUAGACAUCACUAUUCUAUAGCCCUAAGUAUAACUUCAAGUAUGUAUCUUCCACAAUGACUUUAUGACCAUGAAAUCAAUUCAAGAAAUUUAACAUGUAUGCAGUUCUAUCCAGCGUACAUACAGAUUUCUCAUCCCCCCUUUUACUGUAGUUUAUAGAAAAAGCAAUUCUCUUCCAUAUCUAGAGUUUGACAAGGAAUAUGCAUUGCAUUUGGUUUCUGUGUUCUUUAAUCUCUUGUUGUACAGAACUUCAACCUUUCAUGACAGGUUGAACAAUUUUGGAUCAUACAGGCUGUCAUGGUUUGAAUAUGUUUGGCCCAGGGAGUGGUACUGUUAGGGGUGUGGUCUUCUUGGAAUAGGUGUGUCACCGUGGGCGUGGGCUUUAAGACCCUCAUCCUUAGCUUCUGGAAGUCAGUCUUCCACUAGCAACCUUCAGAUGAAGAUGUAGAACUCUCACCAUCUCCUGCACUAUACCUGCCUGGAUAUCGCCAUGUUCCUGCCUUGAUGAUUAUGGACUGAACCUCUGAACCUGUAAGCCAGCCCCAAUUAAAUUUGUCCUUAUA
RNAcentral lists this long non-coding RNA (2168 nucleotides) under Mus musculus (house mouse). RNAcentral's name for it is "pluripotency associated transcript 4 (Platr4)". The record is from RNAcentral. Lineage: Eukaryota; Metazoa; Chordata; Mammalia; Rodentia; Muridae.